UUUUCACUUCUUUCUCUAUCACCCACAUUUGUAUCUACAUUUCUCAAAUAUUAAAUUAUACGGAGUACUAAUACUACUGAAUUAAUUUUAUUAUUCUAAAUGUUUCAAACUUUGCACAUGCAGCGAACAUUUUUUACACCUUUAAUUCCCAGCUUCCUACUUUAAGCCGCCCUAAUUACAAGGUACCCUAGCUUUAUGAGUUAGAUUUUUCCCUCUGCUUUUACAAAUUUGGUCCUUGGUGAAGAUUGAAAAUGCUCUUCUUUUGGGAAAAUGAUGGGUUACAACUUUGAAUUGCUGGAAUUGUACUCUGGGAGAGGUGAAUGAGCAGGCAAAAAGUGAUGAAGAAACAUGUGAAUAUGGUGAGAGGAAGAGGUCCCAGCAGGGUGAAUGGCCAACAGGUUGCUUUUGAACUUAAACAACGUGCGGUUCUUGCGCUGAACAAGCUUGCAGAUAGGGAUACUUACCAAAUUGGAGUUGAAGAGCUAGAGAAAAUAAUUGAGUGCUUAACCCCAGAUGGAGUCGCUCCAUUUCUAUCUUGUAUAUUAGAUACUGACUCAGAGCAGAAAAGUGCUGUUCGUAAGGAAUCUAUUCGGUUGAUGGGCAUGCUAGCCAAUUUCCAUGAUAGUAUUGUUGUUCCACAUCUUGGGAAGAUGGUAACUAGCAUUGUUAAGCGUCUCAAGGACUCGGAUACAGUUGUAAGAGAUGCGUGCGUGGAUACUGUUGGUGUUUUGGCUUCUAAAAUGAGUAGUGUUACAGGUGACAAUGAAAAUGAUGGAGUUUUUGUGAUGCUAGUGAGGCCUAUUUUUGAAGCAAUGGGAGAGCAAAAUAAGCAGGUGCAAACUGGUUCAGCGCUGUGCUUGGCUCGGGUCAUAGACAGUAUUCAGAACCCUCCAGCUGUCAUUUUGCAGAAGAUGCUGGCUAAAACUGUCAAGUUGCUUAAGAAUCCACACUUCAUGGCAAAACCAGCUGUUAUUGAAUUGAAUAGAAGCAUAAUUCAGGCUGGUGGUGCCAAUACACAUAGUGCUUUAUCAACUGCAAUGGCUAGCAUUCAAGAAGCACUCAAGAACAGUGAUUGGGCGACAAGAAAAGCUGCAUGUGCAGCAUUAGGCGACAUUGCUUCAAUCGGUGGAGCAUUCUUCAGCACUUUCAAAACCUCCAGUAUCCGGACCCUUGAAUCCUGUCGAUUUGAUAAGGUGAAACCAGUCAGGGACUCAGCAUUGCAAGCUUUACACCUGUGGAAAAGGCUUCCUGGCACUGGUACAUCUGAACCUUCUGAAGCAGGCUCUUCCAUAAGAGAAAAUCUUUAUAAAGAUGACUAUGGCGAUAUAACAAGUGCCAGUGAGUCAACACUGAAGGAUGUCACACCUAAGAAAUUUGGUUGUGACUCGGUUAAAAGCAAGCUUCCCCUUUCUUUCAGAAAAGCAGGCCCUAACCAUGUUGAAAAGCCUCAGCACUCCGGAGCUAAUGAGUGGCGUGUAGAAAUAGCAGUUCCAAAAACCCGUAAGAUCUUUAUGCCAGAAGUUCGGGAUGAAGAAUCAGAGGGUAGUUCUAUUACGAAGGCAUUUGAAAAAAGUGCUGAGACUAGAAGUUCUCAUGAUGUUGAAUAUGAAUAUGUGCACAUAGAUGACAAACAGGAAUGCUCUUCUGGCUCAAAUCUGUUUCCUGAUAACUUUCAACGCAAAGAAGUCCUGGGUUCUCACGAGGUAAUUGACAAGGCCAAUUUGGUUACACCAUUGGGAACAAGUCGGCGUUCUGCAGUUGAAGAAAUCAGUAUUGAGGAACAGCGAUAUUUUUCUGGAAUGCAGGAACGAAGAAGCUUAGAUUCAACAGUAACUGAAUUGAGUUCCCAAAAAUUGCAUGGCUGUUGUUCUGAUGUAGCUAAGGAAAUGUUAUCUGUCCGAAAGCAACUCUUAGAUAUUGAAAAUAAGCAAUCCAAUUUACUGGAUUUAUUAAAGGAGUUCACAUCCAACAUUGUGGAUAACCUGUCAAUGAUACAAAUAAAUGUGUCCAGUCUUGAAGGUGUAGUUGAUAGAUUGGCCAAGGAACUUUCUCAUGGAGGGAGAUUUCCUGAUCCAGCGACAACAAAAUUUAUGAAAAGAGGUCCUGCUGUUGCUUCCCCAAGGCUCUCCACAUACACCCCAAGGCCAUCUGUUGAUAUGCCUCAUAGGAAGUCUCCGUUACUGCCCACCAAAGAUGUGGAGGUUCGGGGGGAUAGGACACUUGUAAAGAGCAGAUCGGGCAGUUUUAGAAAUCAAAAUCUAGACAUGUGGAUAGAUCCUGCAGCAAAACAAGGUGGAUAUUCUGUUGGAAAGGGAACACAUGGAGGACAAUUGAGGAGAAAUAAAGAUGUCUUUGGCAGAAUUUCUACAACUAAUGACAAACAAAAUCACUUAGAUGCCAAGAAUAACCUCUGGAGAAUUGUUAAAGGACAUCUUUUGGGUGGGGAUGUAGACUCUGCUUAUGUGGAAGCCCUUUAUUCUGGUGAUGAGCUUGUUUUGUUUGAACUUAUUGAUACAACAGGGCCAGUUCUGGAGAAUUUAUCCCAAAAGACCGCCAGUGAUCUUUUGGCCACUUUAUCAUCAUACUUCUUCGAACAAACAUAUGUGAAUAUCAUAAUUCCCUGGCUGCAACAGGUGGUGGAAUUGAGUUCUGUCCGUGGGCCAGAUUAUACUGUCCUCCCUACAAAUGCAAAGCGAGAAUUUCUUUCUGCAUUUCAGGAAGCGAUAAAGGGUGGAUACUCUACCCCAGCAGAGAGAAAAUCUUUGAUGCAGUUGGCAAUGACCUUAAACCAGCUUUGGGGAAAGAGUGGUCAUCUGGAGAAGGAAGUUUAAAUUGAUGAAAAGUCUCACUUUUCUGAUUUUUGUUUCUCAAAAACCAGGAGUGGUGAAACCAGGAAAAAAUGCACCAUAGCAUGCCACGGAGUUGCUGGUAUUCUCUCUGGUGGAAUUUGGAACUGAGCUUACAGACAAAGUAGAAGAGAAUGGAUUCGAGGGGGGAUGAAUCUUGAUGCUUAGAAAGAGCUACUCUUUUCUUUUAUCAACUUCUCGAAACGUUACCUGAAUACGCAGAACUGAAGGUUGUAGCUUCUAGAAUGUCAAGACAGUUUCAACUUUCAUGAAUCUGUGAUUUGUUUUUGUCCAUUUCUCAGUUUCCUUGGAAAUGCUGUUUAAACACAGAGAUGUCAAGACAUAUCAGCCAUCAUGUCAACCUUUCAUUAGAUGCCGUUGUACAGUUGAAAUUGGACAGUAAUUUCAUGUCUUUAUUUCUCCAA
Molecule: RNA transcript, 3271 nt
Organism: Lycium ferocissimum
Lineage: Eukaryota; Viridiplantae; Streptophyta; Magnoliopsida; Solanales; Solanaceae
Gene name: TORTIFOLIA1-like protein 2
Exons: 10
Source: RefSeq, a predicted model, not a curated record